UACGGAGGAUGCGAGCGUUAUCCGGAUUUAUUGGGUUUAAAGGGUGCGUAGGCGGGAUGCCAAGUCAGCGGUAAAAAUGCGGUGCUCAACGCCGUCGAGCCGUUGAAACUGGCGUUCUUGAGUGGGCGAGGAGUAUGCGGAAUGCGUGGUGCAGCGGUGAAAUGCAUAGAUAUCACGCAGAACUCCGAUUGCGAAGGCAGCAUACCGGCGCCCUACUGACGCUGAGGCACGAAAGCGUGGGUAUCGAACAGG
This 252-nucleotide ribosomal RNA is filed under the name uncultured bacterium. RNAcentral describes it as "partial 16S ribosomal RNA". It matches the Rfam family "Bacterial small subunit ribosomal RNA", at positions 524 to 776 of the family's 1533-position model. The record is from RNAcentral.